UGGGGAAUUGUUCGCAAUGGGCGCAAGCCUGACGACGCAACGCCGCGUGGAGGACGAAGAUCUUCGGGUCGUAAACUCCUUUCGAUCGGGAAGAACGCUUUCGGAGUGAAUACCUCCGGAGGGUGACGGUACCGAGAGAAGAAGCCCCGGCUAACUCCGUGCCAGCAGCCGCGGUAAUACGGGGGGGGCAAGCGUUGUUCGGAAUUACUGGGCGUAAAGGGCGUGUAGGCGGCCAACUAAGUCCGACGUGAAAUCCCCAGGCUUAACCUGGGAACUGCGUCGGAUACUGGAUGGCUUGAAUCCGGGAGAGGGAUGCAGAAUUCCAGGUGUAGCGGUGAAAUGCGUAGAUAUCUGGAGGAAUACCGGUGGCGAAGGCGGCAUCCUGGACCGGCAUUGACGCUGAAGCGCGAAAGCUAGGGGAGCAAACGG
Molecule: ribosomal RNA, 429 nt
Filed under: uncultured bacterium
Lineage: Bacteria
Description: bacterial SSU rRNA
Rfam family: Bacterial small subunit ribosomal RNA
Source: RNAcentral